This 253-nucleotide ribosomal RNA is filed under the name uncultured bacterium. RNAcentral describes it as "partial 16S ribosomal RNA". It matches the Rfam family "Bacterial small subunit ribosomal RNA", at positions 524 to 776 of the family's 1533-position model. The record is from RNAcentral.
UACGGAGGAGGCAAGCGUUAUCCGGAAUUAUUGGGCGUAAAGCGUCCGCAGGUGGCGAUUCAAGUCUGCUGUCAAAGGCCGGGGCUUAACCCCGGGAAGGCAGUGGAAACUGAAUAGCUAGAGUGCGGGAGGGGCAGAGGGAAUUCCCGGUGUAGCGGUGAAAUGCGUAGAGAUCGGGAAGAACACCAGUGGCGAAAGCGCUCUGCUGGGCCUGCACUGACACUGAGGGACGAAAGCUAGGGGAGCGAAAAGG